UACGUAUGGUGCAAGCGUUAUCCGGAUUUACUGGGUGUAAAGGGAGCGUAGACGGAGUGGCAAGUCUGAUGUGAAAACCCGGGGCUCAACCCCGGGACUGCAUUGGAAACUGUCAAUCUAGAGUACCGGAGAGGUAAGCGGAAUUCCUAGUGUAGCGGUGAAAUGCGUAGAUAUUAGGAGGAACACCAGUGGCGAAGGCGGCUUACUGGACGGUAACUGACGUUGAGGCUCGAAAGCGUGGGGAGCAAACAGGAUUAGAUACCCUGGUAGUCCACGCCGUAAACGAUGACUACUAGGUGUCGGGCAGCAAAGCUGUUCGGUGCCGCAGCAAACGCAAUAAGUAGUCCACCUGGGGAGUACGUUCGCAAGAAUGAA
Molecule: ribosomal RNA, 375 nt
Filed under: uncultured bacterium
Lineage: Bacteria
Description: bacterial SSU rRNA
Rfam family: Bacterial small subunit ribosomal RNA
Source: RNAcentral